GGGUUGUGAGGUUAAGCGACUAAGCGUACACGGUGGAUGCCCUGGCAGUCAGAGGCGAUGAAGGACGUGCUAAUCUGCGAUAAGCGUCGGUAAGGUGAUAUGAACCGUUAUAACCGGCGAUUUCCGAAUGGGGAAACCCAGUGUGUUUCGACACACUAUCAUUAACUGAAUCCAUAGGUUAAUGAGGCGAACCGGGGGAACUGAAACAUCUAAGUACCCCGAGGAAAAGAAAUCAACCGAGAUUCCCCCAGUAGCGGCGAGCGAACGGGGAGCAGCCCAGAGCCUGAAUCAGUGUGUGUGUUAGUGGAAGCGUCUGGAAAGGCGCGCGAUACAGGGUGACAGCCCCGUACACAAAAAUGCACAUAUUGUGAGCUCGAUGAGUAGGGCGGGACACGUGGUAUCCUGUCUGAAUAUGGGGGGACCAUCCUCCAAGGCUAAAUACUCCUGACUGACCGAUAGUGAACCAGUACCGUGAGGGAAAGGCGAAAAGAACCCCGGCGAGGGGAGUGAAAAAGAACCUGAAACCGUGUACGUACAAGCAGUGGGAGCACGCUUAGGCGUGUGACUGCGUACCUUUUGUAUAAUGGGUCAGCGACUUAUAUUCUGUAGCAAGGUUAACCGAAUAGGGGAGCCGAAGGGAAACCGAGUCUUAACUGGGCGUUAAGUUGCAGGGUAUAGACCCGAAACCCGGUGAUCUAGCCAUGGGCAGGUUGAAGGUUGGGUAACACUAACUGGAGGACCGAACCGACUAAUGUUGAAAAAUUAGCGGAUGACUUGUGGCUGGGGGUGAAAGGCCAAUCAAACCGGGAGAUAGCUGGUUCUCCCCGAAAGCUAUUUAGGUAGCGCCUCGUGAAUUCAUCUCCGGGGGUAGAGCACUGUUUCGGCAAGGGGGUCAUCCCGACUUACCAACCCGAUGCAAACUGCGAAUACCGGAGAAUGUUAUCACGGGAGACACACGGCGGGUGCUAACGUCCGUCGUGAAGAGGGAAACAACCCAGACCGCCAGCUAAGGUCCCAAAGUCAUGGUUAAGUGGGAAACGAUGUGGGAAGGCCCAGACAGCCAGGAUGUUGGCUUAGAAGCAGCCAUCAUUUAAAGAAAGCGUAAUAGCUCACUGGUCGAGUCGGCCUGCGCGGAAGAUGUAACGGGGCUAAACCAUGCACCGAAGCUGCGGCAGCGACGCUGAUGCGUUGUUGGGUAGGGGAGCGUUCUGUAAGCCUGCGAAGGUGUGCUGUGAGGCAUGCUGGAGGUAUCAGAAGUGCGAAUGCUGACAUAAGUAACGAUAAAGCGGGUGAAAAGCCCGCUCGCCGGAAGACCAAGGGUUCCUGUCCAACGUUAAUCGGGGCAGGGUGAGUCGACCCCUAAGGCGAGGCCGAAAGGCGUAGUCGAUGGGAAACAGGUUAAUAUUCCUGUACUUGGUGUUACUGCGAAGGGGGGACGGAGAAGGCUAUGUUGGCCGGGCGACGGUUGUCCCGGUUUAAGCGUGUAGGCUGGUUUUCCAGGCAAAUCCGGAAAAUCAAGGCUGAGGCGUGAUGACGAGGCACUACGGUGCUGAAGCAACAAAUGCCCUGCUUCCAGGAAAAGCCUCUAAGCAUCAGGUAACAUCAAAUCGUACCCCAAACCGACACAGGUGGUCAGGUAGAGAAUACCAAGGCGCUUGAGAGAACUCGGGUGAAGGAACUAGGCAAAAUGGUGCCGUAACUUCGGGAGAAGGCACGCUGAUAUGUAGGUGAAGUCCCUUGCGGAUGGAGCUGAAAUCAGUCGAAGAUACCAGCUGGCUGCAACUGUUUAUUAAAAACACAGCACUGUGCAAACACGAAAGUGGACGUAUACGGUGUGACGCCUGCCCGGUGCCGGAAGGUUAAUUGAUGGGGUCAGCGCAAGCGAAGCUCUUGAUCGAAGCCCCGGUAAACGGCGGCCGUAACUAUAACGGUCCUAAGGUAGCGAAAUUCCUUGUCGGGUAAGUUCCGACCUGCACGAAUGGCGUAAUGAUGGCCAGGCUGUCUCCACCCGAGACUCAGUGAAAUUGAACUCGCUGUGAAGAUGCAGUGUACCCGCGGCAAGACGGAAAGACCCCGUGAACCUUUACUAUAGCUUGACACUGAACAUUGAGCCUUGAUGUGUAGGAUAGGUGGGAGGCUUUGAAGUGUGGACGCCAGUCUGCAUGGAGCCGACCUUGAAAUACCACCCUUUAAUGUUUGAUGUUCUAACGUUGACCCGUAAUCCGGGUUGCGGACAGUGUCUGGUGGGUAGUUUGACUGGGGCGGUCUCCUCCUAAAGAGUAACGGAGGAGCACGAAGGUUGGCUAAUCCUGGUCGGACAUCAGGAGGUUAGUGCAAUGGCAUAAGCCAGCUUGACUGCGAGCGUGACGGCGCGAGCAGGUGCGAAAGCAGGUCAUAGUGAUCCGGUGGUUCUGAAUGGAAGGGCCAUCGCUCAACGGAUAAAAGGUACUCCGGGGAUAACAGGCUGAUACCGCCCAAGAGUUCAUAUCGACGGCGGUGUUUGGCACCUCGAUGUCGGCUCAUCACAUCCUGGGGCUGAAGUAGGUCCCAAGGGUAUGGCUGUUCGCCAUUUAAAGUGGUACGCGAGCUGGGUUUAGAACGUCGUGAGACAGUUCGGUCCCUAUCUGCCGUGGGCGCUGGAGAACUGAGGGGGGCUGCUCCUAGUACGAGAGGACCGGAGUGGACGCAUCACUGGUGUUCGGGUUGUCAUGCCAAUGGCACUGCCCGGUAGCUAAAUGCGGAAGAGAUAAGUGCUGAAAGCAUCUAAGCACGAAACUUGCCCCGAGAUGAGUUCUCCCUGACCCUUUAAGGGUCCUGAAGGAACGUUGAAGACGACGACGUUGAUAGGCCGGGUGUGUAAGCGCAGCGAUGCGUUGAGCUAACCGGUACUAAUGAACCGUGAGGCUUAACCUUACAACGCCGAAG
Molecule: ribosomal RNA, 2925 nt
Filed under: Escherichia coli O10:H32
Lineage: Bacteria; Pseudomonadati; Pseudomonadota; Gammaproteobacteria; Enterobacterales; Enterobacteriaceae
Description: 23S ribosomal RNA
Rfam family: Bacterial large subunit ribosomal RNA
Source: RNAcentral